RNAcentral lists this ribosomal RNA (404 nucleotides) under Verrucomicrobiota bacterium. RNAcentral's name for it is "Verrucomicrobia bacterium partial 16S ribosomal RNA". It matches the Rfam family "Bacterial small subunit ribosomal RNA", at positions 355 to 776 of the family's 1533-position model. Lineage: Bacteria; Pseudomonadati; Verrucomicrobiota. The record is from RNAcentral.
UGGGGAAUAUUGCACAAUGGGGGAAACCCUGAUGCAGCGACGCCGCGUGAGCGAUGAAGGCUUUCGAGUCGUAAAGCUCUGUCCUAUGGGAAGAUAAUGACGGUACCAUAGAAGAAAGCCCCGGCUAAUUACGUGCCAGCAGCCGCGGUAAUACGUAAGGGGCGAGCGUUGUCCGGAAUUAUUGGGCGUAAAGAGUGCGUAGGCGGCAAAUUAAGUCAGAUGUGAAAACUAAGGGCUCAACCCAUAGAUUGCAUCUGAAACUGAUAUGCUUGAGUCAAGGAGAGGAAAGUGGAAUUCCUAGUGUAGCGGUGGAAUGCGUAGAUAUUAGGAGGAAUACCGGUGGCGAAGGCGACUUUCUGGACGAAAACUGACGCUGAGGAACGAAAGCGUGGGUAGCAAACAGG